Molecule: ribosomal RNA, 468 nt
Filed under: uncultured bacterium
Lineage: Bacteria
Description: partial 16S ribosomal RNA
Rfam family: Bacterial small subunit ribosomal RNA
Source: RNAcentral
GACGAACGCUGGCGGCGUGCUUAACACAUGCAAGUCGAACGGAAAGGCCCUGCUUUUGUGGGGUGCUCGAGUGGCGAACGGGUGAGUAACACGUGAGUAACCUGCCCUUGACUUUGGGAUAACUUCAGGAAACUGGGGCUAAUACCGGAUAGGAGCUCCUGCUGCAUGGUGGGGGUUGGAAAGUUUCGGCGGUUGGGGAUGGACUCGCGGCUUAUCAGCUUGUUGGUGGGGUAGUUGCUUACCAAGGCUUUGACGGGUAGCCGGCCUGAGAGGGUGACCGGGCACAUUGGGACUGAGAUACGGACCAGAAUGCUACGGGAGGCAGCAGUGGGGAAUAUUGCACAAUGGGCGGAAGCCUGAUGCAGCAACGCCGCGUGCGGGAUGACGGCCUUCGGGUUGUAAACCGCUUUCGAAUGUGACGAAGCGUGAGUGACGGUAAUGGGUAAAGAAGCACCGGCUAACUACGUG